This 1011-nucleotide long non-coding RNA is filed under the name Phasianus colchicus (ring-necked pheasant). RNAcentral describes it as "lncRNA (ENSPCLG00000021780.1)". Lineage: Eukaryota; Metazoa; Chordata; Aves; Galliformes; Phasianidae. The record is from RNAcentral.
AUGAGGCUGAGCAGCGAGGAGGCUGCGGAGAGCAAAUGGCCGAUGGGCAGCCCUGGUGUGGAGCUGGUGGGUGUGCCCCCCAGCGUGUCCCCAAAGCUGAAGGCAAAGGAGUCAGGAGCACAGUCACCAGGGAAGGCAAGGGCCACCAAGCUGGACAGGCAGGUGGCAGGCAAAGGGGCGUGUGACACUGUGCCAGUGGUGGUCACUGCACCGGACACCACGCCAGUGGUUGUCACCCCAUCGGUUGUUGUCACUACACCAGAUGUCACACCAGUGGUUGUCACCACACCAGUGGUUGUCACUGGGCUGGGAGAGCUGUGCCAGGAGGGGAAGGCUCUCGGUCCCCUGAGUGUGGCUGCUGCUGCUGGGGGCUGUGGGGAGUUCACAGCCAGCCCCCCCCGAGAGAUGGGCUCCCCAACAUUCACAGUUGGGGGCCCUCCUGGGGCAGACAGCCUGGAUGUGACGUGGCCUGAGAUGUACGACUAUUUGUUCUGCGAGUCCCAGGGGGAAGAAGAAGCAGCAGAGAACGCGGUGGAGGGCGAGAAAACACCCUUGGAGAGGGAAAUAUCCUUGCCUGAACUGUAUGAGUAUUUUUUCAAUGAACCUGAAGGAAGUAGGAAAAAAGCCAAGCGUAAAGAGAGGAAGAGGAAGGAGUUUUUUGGCUUGCACCACACUGAGCUGCAAAAGGAGGAUCCCGAUGCAGCUACAGCCAAAGAGCCCCAGGUUGCCACAGUGCCUGAGCUGUAUGAACACUUCUUCCCCGACAGACCCCAGCACAGGAGGGGCUGGAGGGGAUUUCUCUUCUCCUCACCAGCCUCUGAGGUGAGGAAAGCCGUGGGGGCUCUGAUGUCCAUCCUGCAGAGGCCAAAGCCACACAGCAGAACCCAAGCGCCAGCCUCCCCAUCACUGGCACGGAGAGGGUCCCACCUUGCCCUCGUGCCACUGGGAGGGGGUCCUGAGUAUCCACCAGCUUUGGACAUGGCCCUUGCACUGAGAGGUAAAGCAGUGUGA